Molecule: ribosomal RNA, 227 nt
Filed under: bacterium enrichment culture clone ALO1_GLFRUDD03HIQD1
Lineage: Bacteria
Description: partial 16S ribosomal RNA
Rfam family: Bacterial small subunit ribosomal RNA
Source: RNAcentral
GAGUUUGAUCGUGGCUCAGAUUGAACGCUGGCGGCAUGCCUUACACAUCGCAAGUCGAACGGCAGCACGGGAGCUUGCUCCUGGUGGCGAGUGGCGAACGGGUGAGUAAUGCAUCCGGAACGUAUCCUGGAGUGGGGGAUAACGUAGCGAAAGUUACGCUAAUACCGCAUAUUCUGUGAGCAGGAAAGCGGGGGACCUUCGGGCCUCGCGCUCUUGGAGCGGCCGAU